Molecule: unclassified non-coding RNA, 196 nt
Filed under: Glomeraceae sp.
Lineage: Eukaryota; Fungi; Glomeromycota; Glomeromycetes; Glomerales; Glomeraceae
Description: partial contains 5.8S ribosomal RNA and internal transcribed spacer 2
Rfam family: 5.8S ribosomal RNA (bases 1-71)
Source: RNAcentral
GUGAAUCAUCGAAUUUUUGAACGCACAUUGCGCUCUUUGGUAUUCCGGAGAGCAUGCCUGUUUGAGGGUCAGUUUAAAUAAAAAUCGGUGUGGUUGCUGUCUUUCGUGGUGACGCACGGGAUGUGGGUCGUCUUGCUUUUGGUUAAGUGACUUAAAAUUUUGCAGGAUUUUUUCGUAAGAAUUUAAAUGAUUUUAC